AUGUUAGACUCUAUUUCAUAUAUGCAACUUGCUAUACUGUCUGCUCAAGAUAUGUUUAGUUACGGUUCAUAUAUGAAGAUGUUGUUUACCUUCUCUUUGUCAAAUCGCAUGGCUUGUUUUAUCACUGCUACACUAGUCAUGCUUUAUCUAGUAUUUCUGUUAAUAAAAUCACUCAGUAAAUUGCUCAUAUUUCCAACAAUCCAAAAACCUUAUUAUAGGCAAUUUACCCCGAGUGGUUUUGCUGCUUCCAUGAGACCUCCUAUGUUUGAGGGUAUCCACUAUAAGAGGUGGCGCGUGAGAGCAGUUUGA
RNAcentral lists this ribosomal RNA (309 nucleotides) under Triticum aestivum (bread wheat). Its description in RNAcentral is "partial small subunit ribosomal RNA". The record is from RNAcentral. Lineage: Eukaryota; Viridiplantae; Streptophyta; Magnoliopsida; Poales; Poaceae.